AUUGAACGCUGGCGGCAUGCUUUACACAUGCAAGUCGAACGGCAGCGCGGGGCAACCUGGCGGCGAGUGGCGAACGGGUGAGUAAUAUAUCGGAACGUACCCAAGAGUGGGGGAUAACGUAGCGAAAGUUACGCUAAUACCGCAUACGAUCUACGGAUGAGAGUGGGGGAUCUUCGGACCUCAUGCUCCUGGAGCGGCCGAUAUCUGAUUAGCUAGUUGGUGAGGUAAAGGCUCACCAAGGCGACGAUCAGUAGCUGGUCUGAGAGGACGACCAGCCACACUGGGACUGAGACACGGCCCAGACUCCUACGGGAGGCAGCAGUGGGGAAUUUUGGACAAUGGGCGCAAGCCUGAUCCAGCAAUGCCGCGUGAGUGAAGAAGGCCUUCGGGUUGUAAAGCUCUUUUGUCAGGGAAGAAACGGUUGGGGCUAAUAUCCCCGGCUAAUGACGGUACCUGAAGAAUAAGCACCGGCUAACUACGUGCCAGCAGCCGCAGUAA
RNAcentral lists this ribosomal RNA (498 nucleotides) under uncultured bacterium. Its description in RNAcentral is "partial 16S ribosomal RNA". It matches the Rfam family "Bacterial small subunit ribosomal RNA", at positions 30 to 523 of the family's 1533-position model. The record is from RNAcentral.